Molecule: transfer RNA, 71 nt
Filed under: Hypotaenidia okinawae
Lineage: Eukaryota; Metazoa; Chordata; Aves; Gruiformes; Rallidae
Description: tRNA-Asp
Source: RNAcentral
UGGGACGUUAGUAAAUUAAUUACAUAGUCUUGUCAAGACUAAAUAGCAGGUGAAACCCCAGCACAUCCCAC